AUUGAACGCUGGCGGCAGGCCUAACACAUGCAAGACGAACGGUAACAGGAAACAGCUUGCUGUUUCGCUGACGAGUGGCGGACGGGUGAGUAAUGUCUGGGAAACUGCCUGAUGGAGGGGGAUAACUACUGGAAACGGUAGCUAAUACCGCAUAACGUCGCAAGACCAAAGAGGGGGACCGUCGGGCCUCAUGCCAUCAGAUGUGCCCAGAUGGGAUUAGCUGGUAGGUGGGGUAACGGCUCACCUAGGCGACGAUCCCUAGCUGGUCUGAGAGGAUGACCAGCCACACUGGAACUGAGACACGGUCCAGACUCCUACGGGAGGCAGCAGUGGGGAAUAUUGCACAAUGGGCGCAAGCCUGAUGCAGCCAUGCCGCGUGUGUGAAGAAGGCCUUCGGGUUGUAAAGCACUUUCAGCGGGGAGGAAGGCAUUAAGGUUAAUAACCUUAGUGAUUGACGUUACCCGCAGAAGAAGCACCGGCUAACUCCGUGCCAGCAGCCGCCGUAA
RNAcentral lists this ribosomal RNA (506 nucleotides) under uncultured bacterium. Its description in RNAcentral is "partial 16S ribosomal RNA". It matches the Rfam family "Bacterial small subunit ribosomal RNA", at positions 30 to 523 of the family's 1533-position model. The record is from RNAcentral.